Nerophis ophidion (straightnose pipefish) is the source of this 1121-nucleotide long non-coding RNA. RefSeq lists it as uncharacterized. The transcript has 3 exons. The record is from RefSeq and is a predicted model, not a curated record. NCBI's taxonomy places the organism in Eukaryota, Metazoa, Chordata, Actinopteri, Syngnathiformes, Syngnathidae.
AUAAGGUGUUGACAUUACUGUGCUGUAAUUAGGACAAGGCUUGACGGUCAUGGGUUGAUCCUACGUUACGACACUGCGACAGACUGCGGGUCAGUUUCCAUACGUCCAACUAUACGGUCUGGAUUUAUGACAAGCAAGACAAAUGGCUGACCCUGCACCCGCUCGCAGCUGUCGUCCUAAAAAAUGUACAGCCGGAGUCAUUUAUAAUGAGCCUCUUUCACCCGCAGGCGGACUCAAAUACUCCAAAUCAAACGACAUGUGGCGCCCCGACGGUGAUAGCUUAUUGAUUUGAUCAGAGAAAAACAUCAGCAGACGAGACCCCCGCCCGGGGGUGAAGAGAGCGGGUGUAAGUGUUAAACGAGGGUGAGAACUGUGGUCCUUGUGUGCGAAUCAGCAUGGUGCAACAGAUGGAGAGGAGCUAAUCUCUUUGCAGUCAGAGAAACACCUUCGCAUGCUUUCUUUUUUCCAACUCUCAGCCCUCAGCCCCGUUGCACAACUCCUCACGUGCGGGGCAAACACACAAAACUUGUCGGUCCGGGGAGUCGGCUCUGCUUUUUCAAGCUGAGACACGGACUGAGCAAAAGUGAAGUGUGAGCGGCACCGGGGUCAAGGGUGAAGUGUCCUGCCCAAGGACACAACGGCAGCGAUUUGGAUGUGAAGAGGCGGGGAGCGAACCUGCAGCCCUCAGUCUACCCACUACACCAUACCGCCCCAAUUUAGUGAGGCGGAGCCGACGGGCUGACGUGACGGCGGGGCAGGACACGCCUUGGCCCUGCUCAAGAUGGCGGCCAGGAGGCGGAGAAUGCGGCGGAACGAAGAGGCGGGGCUUGCCGGGAGCGACGCCGCAGCAAUCGAGAUCACGUGCGUGGCUCACACACCGGUUCACAAUCUGCCUAUCUCCUCACAGUGUAUAAAAAGGGAGAGAGAGGAAAGAUCAGAGAGAGAAGAGGUGGAGUGUCUGCAGUGCCGGAAAAAACAAGAACGAUCCCAGAAGGAGCCCCAGACGAGGACAACGACAACGGCAGCUGAAAAGCCGACCGGAACGAGCAACGGAGAAGGAGCUGAAAAGCGACCCGACCGAUAUCGAAGCUUUGUUAUUGAAAAAUAAAGAGUCAAACCUG